GGACAACCUACCCUUGGGACGGGGAUAAACCCGGGAAACUGGGUAUAAUACCCGAUAGUGCUCGACUGCUGGAAUGCAUCGAGUACGAAAGCUCCGGUGCCCAAGGAUGGGUCUGCGGCCUAUCAGGUAGUAGUGGGUGUAGCGUACCUACUAGCCUACGACGGGUACGGGUUGUGAGAGCAAGAGCCCGGAGAUGGAUUCUGAGACACGAAUCCAGGCCCUACGGGGUGCAGCAGGCGCGAAAACUUUACAAUGCUGGAAACAGCGAUAAGGGAACCUCGAGUGCCAGGUUACAAAUCUGGCUGUCGUGAUGCCUAAAAAGCAUUGCAUAGCAAGGGCCGGGCAAGACCGGUGCCAGCCGCCGCGGUAACACCGGCGGCUCGAGUGGUAACCGUUAUUAUUGGGUCUAAAGGGUCUGUAGCCGGCCGGAUAAGUCUCUUGGGAAAUCUGGCAGCUUAACUGUCAGGCUUUCAGGAGAUACUGUCUGGCUCGAGGCCGGGAGAGGUGAGAGGUACUUCAGGGGUAGGGGUGAAAUCUUGUAAUCCUUGAAGGACCACCAGUGGCGAAGGCGUCUCACCAGAACGGACCUGACGGCAAGGGACGAAAGCUAGGGGCACGAACCGGAUUAGAUACCCGGGUAGUCCUAGCCGUAAACGAUACUCGCUAGGUGUCGGCCACGGUGCGACCGUGGUCGGUGCCGUAGGGAAGCCGUGAAGCGAGCCACCUGGGAAGUACGGCCGCAAGGCUGAAACU
RNAcentral lists this ribosomal RNA (753 nucleotides) under uncultured archaeon. RNAcentral's name for it is "bacterial SSU rRNA". It matches the Rfam family "Archaeal small subunit ribosomal RNA", at positions 102 to 856 of the family's 1478-position model. The record is from RNAcentral.